Corvus hawaiiensis (hawaiian crow) is the source of this 6711-nucleotide long non-coding RNA. RefSeq lists it as uncharacterized. NCBI's taxonomy places the organism in Eukaryota, Metazoa, Chordata, Aves, Passeriformes, Corvidae. The record is from RefSeq and is a predicted model, not a curated record. The transcript has 2 exons.
AUCUAGGGAAAAAUGAGAGAAGCACGUAAGUACUCCACCAGUUCCAGAGUGUUAACAAACAGGGAACUGCAUCAGGCAGGGGCUCCUUCAAAGUAUUAUGGUGGAAAGAACAAAAACACUGUUCCGCCUUUCCAAUGAAGCCAGUUGCUCAUGGCACUAUGUACAGACAAACUUCACUGGCAACUUUUUCAAGACCUGGUAAUAAGUCCAUGGCUGUGAAGGAGGUCCCAGAUGCCUUCUCCUUCUGUCCAGGGUCUCUCUGCCAGAAGACACAGGAUGAUGUGCCCCUCUCAGGGAGCUUGACAGUGUCUUGCAGCAGGGGAUGAUGCAGCCCCUCCUGACUGCAGGUAAUCAAGGCAACCUGCAUCACCUCCUCUUUCUAACCAUCUUACCACAACAUCAGCAAAGCCCCUUGGUACAGAGUCUGUCCUAAGCAAUGCUGGGAAGCCAACAGCACCCCUAAUUCUGAGUUGUUCUGCCAGUGACAGAUUCAACCCCCACCAGAGCCAGAGGGUUGGGACAACUAAGAACUACCAUUACUGACACCCAGGAGGCUGCAGGUAAAGGAGAGCCAGGUAAGGGCUGGGUGGACAGGGAAGCCCUGCCCCAGCAUUGCCCCAGUGCUCACCACCUCCAGCACAAGUGUAGAAGGAGUAAAGGAGCCCACAGCAGAGAGCUCUGGGGUGAUCUGGACUCACAAGGUCAAUACAAACUUUCACAUGGACAGAGUUAUUAGGUUUAAAGCCUCAUUGGGUAUCACAGAAAGGGUGUUAUUUAUAACCACUCUGGCUUUUCUAUGCCAAUAACUCAGCACAACAACCACAUCCUGUAACUAGACAGAAACACCCAUUAUGUAUUUUGGCACAUUUAUUUCCUUAUCUGUUUGAGUGUUUAAUGUUGGUUUUUUGUUGGGGUUUUUUUUUUUUUUUUUUAGCAUCAUUUUGGUGACAAGGAAAAUGUUCAUAUGCUACUACCCUUUUAUUUGUCUUUUUUUCUAGAUGAAACAAUUGUUUUAAUCCCACAUACAGAUUUUUCAAGUUCCUAAAUCUAUCACUCACAACCACAACAUUCUCUGAGAGGAGGGCCCAGUGUAAACAGAGCUCCAGAUGAGGCCACAAAGAUUUAUGCACAGACAUUUUCUUUGUCCUCUUCAUCCAAACCCAGAAGAUGAAACUUGCUGGCAUCCCCUGGUGUUCCUGCAACUGCUGUGUUACACAUAACACCCUGCCUUCAUCUGUAUUUCCACUGUCAUACACACCUUUUAAACUGAAAAUAAGGGUCUUGCAGCUUUCAAGUGCUGCUUUUUGUUCUGCAGAUAGAAAAGCCUGAUUUAACAGUCAGACUCUGCACUGGCUCAGAAAUAAACUAAGCCAACAGACGUCAGGGUGCAAGCUUCAUUAAUCGACCUGCAAAGAGGAUUUUGUUUCCACUUCUUUGAAGUGAAGUGCCAUCCCCAGUGGAGGCCCUGAAUUUGCUGUGAUUAUGCAGUUGAUUGUUCUUUUAAUGAGGCAGUAGAAAAAGAAAAAAGUAUUGCAGUUCUAGGGAAUACAUCUAAUUUCAAAUGGAUACCAGGGCUCAACCAGAACCUGAUGACUUUUUUACAGCUUCUCUCAGUCCAGGAGCAACCUCUGCAUUUCACACCAGACUAUUCUAUUCAUGACAAGUCCAUCCUUGAAUUAACCUUGGGCAAGUUGCCCUUUGCCAUUGUCCAUGCUCAAGGUCUGAGCCACUUCAAACCUUUGGCUUUCUGACAAGCACCUUCUGCUGCCAUUUCUGUCACCUCACAUCCACAGGCCAAAAGCUCAAGCACUCAGGAAUGUCCACAGACGAGGAAGAAACUGGGACCAGAAAAACUACAAGACAGUUAUCUUCCUUGAGGAAACAGAGGCAAGGAAUAUCUGGCUAAGUACUGACAAAUCGGAUCCCUCAGACUUAUCCAACUCCUCCAUGCAUGCCUAUACCAGUGUUUGUGCUCCAGGAGUGAUUACAUCUUCAAACAGGGAGCUGUGACCAGGCCUGCACUUGGGAUGCAGACAGCAGUGCUGGAGACUGCUUCACCAGAAAUUCAGGACUUGACUUUCUGUCUGUGUUCUCUCCAAGCAGGUGGGUCACUUAUUUGUUUUUAAGCACAUCACCUUCCCCUCCUCACCCCUCUUCAAUUUCACACUUCCUUUUUCUCCCUAAGUAAAUGUAAAAUUUCUGCAAAAGCAAUACAGACUGCAAUUCUGUUUAGGUGGGCUCCAUGGGAUCAUGUGCAUUUGUCUUCCCUUUACCCUUCCUCUAGUACUAAAUGGUUUGAUUCAACCUUAGAGCACUUAGUUAAGUUUGCUUCCAUCCGGAAGUAAGCACUGGUAUCUAAUCUGGAAUACACCCAUAGCAAAAUGAAGGUGAGGAGGUGGAGCCAGCAGUCAGUUCUCUGCUAUGUAAUUAAACAAAUCUGGGCAGGACGAGUUUGCAGCUUAAGGCUCAGAACCCCACCCUGGGCAAUGAGGCAACAGGAAUAGAGCAAGCAGCCCUGGAGAGGCUGGAAGCUGGGAAUGGGUCUAACUGGCUGCUUCACCGCCAGGAACAGGACAUGGCUCCAGCCCAUGAUGCCAAACAGCACCUUUGUUACUUACCAUGCAUUCUGUAACCUUGAAAAGGCUUUAGUUUUGACAGGUGUGGGAAACUGUCUGACAGCACAGGUAUGGAUGGCUUCAAUGCCUUCACCAAAUGAUAAAAGCAUCACGUGAUUGUUCCACAAGGCUCUCAUUGAAGAGAUAUGUCAGAAUUUUAUCCCAGAAGAUACAAGAGUUGCCAUUUCUUCCUCUCCUGCCUCACUGGAGCUGUGCCAUUGCACCAAGGUUCACAUCAGCUGAGACAGGAAUGCAAUUACUGCUACAAGUAUUAAGGAAGCUAACCUUUGCCAGUCACCACAACCAAAGGAAAGGAGUAUGCCAUGCUCCUCUAUCUUUUAUAGAUUAGAAACAACUAAUCUUCUCCUAGAUUAUUCUUAUUACAGAAUAGCAAACCAUGGUAAUCAAGUUUCACGGAGGAAUGGUAACAGCCGUACCUGACGUGCUUCCUCUUGCUGCCCAGCCACCAUUUUCAGAGCUGCAGAACCCUACUCUGAUUAUACAGACCAGACAUUAUGAUUCUUCACUUCCCAGUUUUGGCUGUACAGAAUAAAUUAAUCUGCCUCCCACAGCCAUCCUCCAGGGACUACAGGCAGCACCUGGAUGCAGAGUUCAGCCCUGAUGCUCUGCAGCACAGCAACUGCAGAAAGAGCUCACAAAUCACUGCUCCACGGACUCUUGGUUUUAGGGGGGGUGUAGGAGGAUCAGGUCACAACAGGUAACCAGCAUGGUUUCAAUUGAUGUGGCAUCUGUUUUACAGCUAAAUGAAAGCCAAUACCUUCAUGGAAGCAAAGAUUUCCCCAGUAUUGAAGAGACAGAUCCCUUUGAGAAGGGCUCAUUAACCAGAUGCCCCCCUCACACACACUGUCAGGCCAGAUCAGUUUACGCUAGACAAGCUCAGGAGAGCCGUGGUUCCAAUUCUGCAGGCAGGGCAGGGAGAGGACAGUCAGGCAGAGAGCUGCAGAAUAAAGCAUUACCCCAGCCUGUAGCUAACCCAAAGGCUUACUCACCCGGGCUUAGCAGCAGUGUGUGCACUGGCUACGUAAGAGACACCAGACAAAGAAAAACAGACGCUAGAAAACAGACUACUAGAAAGACAGAGUGAUUAAAUUCUGACUAUGCAAAACCAUUUCCACACAUUCAGGAGAAGGUGUAUCUAUGGUUCAGCAUAAUAUCCUACACAUAUUACAAAUAACGAGUGUCUGCUCACUUUCUUUCUUCUGAAAGCAGCUGCUGUUUCACAAAGUCGCCUAAAGAAGCUCAGCAACUGGGCAGCAGUUAUUUACUCCUAACCUAGACUGUUUUACCAAAAGGCUUCUUACUCCCAAAUCAGUACAACAGUGUUUGCAGAAUAGGAUCAAUAACAAGCAAACCCGAGCAGAGGGGAUAGGAGGGAGACAAUGAAAGUGCAAGCUGUGCCUUCCCUCAUCCGUCCACCUAAUCAGCACAUCAGUGUCAAUCACCAGCCUGGCUGUGUUCAGCCCCACUGACUUUUCUCACUGGGGAGAUGCAACGCAACCAAAGUGUUACUCUGGAACUAUCACCCUUCUCAAUUCUCAUUUGUUCAACUGGACCAAAACCGAAUAAAAGUUGAAUUAACCAAAAUAUCACCAAAGUAUCCUUUCCAUGUAAGGAAAGUGUGUUGCUCAUCCCUAGUUACCUGCAAAGUACCUGGUUUCUUUUCUCAAACAGGAUUAUGUGCUGCAUUGCUGCAGAUUACAUCACCCUCCUGAACUCCCACAGCAGCACCUCACCUCAUCCAGACACAAGGAGCUUUGGAAGAGAAGCAGCAGCAGCCACAUUAAUCUCAUUCCUCUGCUGGUGAGCAAAGCACAGGGGCACAGGGUACAGCGGCAUAUCUAGUGCUCUCUGGAAGGGAGCCUGCCUGGCUACGCGCACAUUGGAGCUGUUCCCUCAAACUAGGGAGCUAGGAAGGGACUGACAAUAAGAAUCUUCCCUGUCACCUCCUCGAAGCAAUAUGGGAUCCCAGUUUGAGGCCAGCUGUUUCUGGCACACGAGCAUGGGACCUCAUUCUUCCAGCCUCACACACAGACUGCUUAGGAUGGCAUCGCAGGGGGGAAACCACACUUUGGAGGCCCACUGCUAAUCCUAUGCAAGACUUACCGAAAAGGAUCCUUGGGAGCGAAGUAAGCUGGAGCAGACAAGUAACUUCCCAUCUUCAACACUGGAUAAACCGGAUCAGCCACAAACUUGUCCAACUGCCUCUGAACAGCUCUGUUCUGCCAACAUGGCAGCAGCCAGUGCUCAUUUACUCUUGUGCUGAUUCAGAUACUUCACCUCCCUUUGAAGCUGCCCAAGGAAUGCCAGGUCUCCUGGAUGCUCAUUCCUUUUCAGAUUUUUCCUGGCUCCCAUUGCUAUAACCAUCUUCUCCUGUGCUCAGCAGCAGCAGCAGCACCUCGGGAAGGACAGAAUCACUGCUAACCGGGCUAGUGGGACAUGCUGCUGCAGUAGUUCCGCGAGCUCUGCUGCCUGCUAACUACUGGCAAGUUUUCCCUUCUCUGGUUCCACCCAAGGGUGGGAGGGGAGGAGGAGCCAUGGCAGGCAGACAGCAGCGGCUCCAGAGCCUCCACAGGCUCUCGCUCCUUCACAGGGUUGGUGCUCUGACCCAAAGAGGGGCUGCGUACUUAGUGCUGAAAGAGAGCAGCUUUGGCCAAAGAAUACAAGCACACACACGUGAAACUUGUCUUUGCAGCAGCCGCACGUUCUAAUGGAGAAGUCAAAGACAGCAAUGAGCCACAUCUCCAAAUAUAUCAAAUUAACUAUGUACAUUCCUAAACCCUUCACAGUGAGUGGGGUUAUCCUGCCUUUACAGCACGUACAAUCCGUUCACCUUGCUGCAGGAGGUAACUCACAGUGUGCUUCAUCCAAGGAAAAACUGCUUUCUUUCCAAUACUGUUUUAAGAAAUCAUUACAAUCCUUUAACUGAAUCAUCAUCUCCUGAAUGGAAGCUGAUAGGCAUAAAUCAGCACGGAGUACUCUCUCCUGCUCACAGCACAUACAGUUGUAUCAUUGUGCUUGUCUGAAGCCAAGCACAAUCUCCAGUGACCUAAUCAGCUAAAGCUGCUCGCAAGACACGCAAAAAUGCAACAAACAUAUUCCGCUGCACUGAGCCUGCCCAUUUUUGUAGUCAGCAAAGCCUGGCAUGCCUGAACACAGCCUGAAAACCAUGCUCUGUUCCAGAGGCAAGAGCACUCAAAUGUGCUUUUCCUGGAGAUGCUCAUCUCAGCUGGCACACUGUUAAGGGAUGCUUAGGGCUGGAACAAGGCAGUCUUGGCUGCAGACUUGACAGCUGCUGCUCGCUGUUGAAGUGCGCAGAAACCUAGGCAGCUUUUAGCAUUCUUUUUUACUCCUUUUUAAAACUUUUUUUAAAAUUUAAUUUUUAAUAAGAAGCCAUCUUUCUGAAGGGAAAAAAAAAUCUCCAUUUUCCCCAUUCAGUGUAGGUAAGCCUGGCUGUAAAAGUGCAGUGAAGCCUAGUGCUGCAGAGCCCGAUGUGCUUGUCAGUUCCAGCACGGGUCUAAUUCCUUCUGACAUUUCACACAGCUCUACUGGAAGCAGCAACACGGUGAGUCUGUGUCUAGGAAUGCGCUCUGGUCUCCCACAUUCUCUAUAUGUUGCGUGCUGAAAAGGGGCCAGUGCUCGCAAUCCUGCGCUUCUCUGGCUAUCAGCACCUCCCCACCACACACACAACACCUCCCGUGCAGCCCAAGCCCCUCCCGCCUCUAUCACUUACACACAAAAGCCUUUCCCCACAGUUCUGCUGCCAUGGGCUGAAUGCCCUCCGAGGGGCAUUCCACGUGACCUCAUAAAUCCCAACUCUUCAGACAAAACCUUUGAAGAUUUGAUCCACAGAUGUGAUAAGCAGCCAGCUAGUCUGUGAAUGAAGCCAGCAGAUAAAGCCUAACUUCAAAGUAAUAAAAACCACCCAGACAGCUAAGCAACUAGGAAAGGAUUUUAAGACUUCCUUAAAGCCAAAGGACACAUAGUCAAAUGUCUACUUAAACAGGAAACUUCUUAUCAAAAUGAUUUUACUUCUGCAGCAAGACCAGCCAGUAAAUUACUUUCGGCUACACAGAAA